AGUCAGCGGUUAAUGAGCAUAGGUAAAAUGGCUGAGUAGGCAUUAGGCUGUAAACCUAAGGACAGAGGUUUAGCCCUCUUUUUACC
Non-coding RNA from Rhinopithecus bieti (black snub-nosed monkey), 86 nucleotides. The record is from Ensembl. Lineage: Eukaryota; Metazoa; Chordata; Mammalia; Primates; Cercopithecidae.